UAACGAGUUAGUAUAAUUAAUACCCUUAAUUUAGACUUAAAAAAAAGAAAUAUAAAUCUCUACUCGUUAA
This 70-nucleotide transfer RNA is filed under the name Anodonta anatina. Its description in RNAcentral is "tRNA-Leu". The record is from RNAcentral. Lineage: Eukaryota; Metazoa; Mollusca; Bivalvia; Unionida; Unionidae.